Molecule: ribosomal RNA, 468 nt
Filed under: uncultured bacterium
Lineage: Bacteria
Description: partial 16S ribosomal RNA
Rfam family: Bacterial small subunit ribosomal RNA
Source: RNAcentral
GACGAACGCUGGCGGCGUGCUUAACACAUGCAAGUCGAACGGAAAGGCCCUGCUUUUGUGUGGUGCUCGAGUGGCGAACGGGUGAGUAACACGUGAGUAACCUUCCCUUGACUUUGGGAUAACUUCAGGAAACUGGGGCUAAUACCGGAUAGGAGCUCCUGCUGCAUGGUGGGGGUUGGAACGUUUCGGCGGUUGGGGAUGGACUCGCGGCUUAUCAGCUUGUUGGUGGAGUAGUGGCUUACCAAGGCUUUGACGGGUAGCCGGCCUGAGAGGGUGACCGGCCACAUUGGGACUGAGAUACGGCACAGACUCCUACGGGAGGCAGCAGUGGGGAAUAUUGCACAAUGGGCGGAAGCCUGAUGCAGCAACGCCGCGUGCGGGAUGACGGCCUUCGGGUUGUAAACCGCUUUCGCCUGUGACGAAGCGUGAGUGACGGUAAUGGGUAAAGAAGCACCGGAUAACUACGUG